AUUUUUUUUCACACACAACCACAGUACUCCCCGAUUUCCUCACCACCGUCGUUACUUAACGCCGCCUGGCACCGUUGGCAUUCAACGUUUCUCUUCCUCGCCUAAUUCCAUUAAGAUUCUUGUCUAAGAGAGUAGGAGCAAAAUGGGUUGGAAAGCUGCUGAGAAACUUAUCAGACACUGGAAGAUACUCCUAGGGGAUAAUGUGAUGAUAAUUCGUGGGAAAGAUAAGGGUGAGACUGGAACCAUAAAACGUGUCAUCCGAUCUCAAAAUCGUGUUAUUGUUGAAGGGAAGAAUCUGAUCAAGAAGCAUAUAAAGGGAGGCCCUGAUCACGAAGGUGGAAUUUUCACGGUAGAGGCUCCUCUUCAUGCCUCAAAUGUUCAAGUUGUUGAUCCAGUCACUGGGAGGCCUUGUAAGGUUGGUGUAAAAUACCUAGAAGAUGGAACAAAAGUAAGAGUAGCUAGAGGUACAGGCACAUCUGGUUCGAUAAUUCCUCGACCAGAGAUUCUAAAGAUAAGGGCUACACCAAGACCCACCACCGCUGGCCCUAAGGACACUCCAAUGGAGUAUGUUUGGGAGCAGACAUAUGAUGCUAAAACAGGAAAGGGCAUGCCUGAUCUUUAAGUAGACCUCUUUACAGUUUCAUUCCAAAAAUGUUGCUGCUCCCCAAAAGAUUCCUCUUUUCUCAUUAGUUCAUUGUCAAGAGCUAUGAAGCGACGUUUUGUUAAAGAACCCUUGAUCCUGACUGAAACGACGUAGUCGUUUUCGUUAUUUUCAUUGAUCUUGUGAACUUUUCAAGGGGCCAAAUAAAAACCAUUGGGAAAAUUUUCAA
Non-coding RNA from Camelina sativa (false flax), 830 nucleotides. The record is from RefSeq and is a predicted model, not a curated record. NCBI's taxonomy places the organism in Eukaryota, Viridiplantae, Streptophyta, Magnoliopsida, Brassicales, Brassicaceae.